AACGAACGCUGGCGGCAUGCCUAACACAUGCAAGUCGAACGAGACCUUCGGGUCUAGUGGCGCACGGGUGCGUAACGCGUGGGAACCUGCCCUUAGGUUCGGAAUAACUCCCCGAAAGGGGUGCUAAUACCGGAUAAUGUCUUCGGACCAAAGAUUUAUCGCCUUUGGAUGGGCCCGCGUUGGAUUAGCGAGUUGGUAGGGUAAAAGCCUACCAAGGCGACGAUCAAUAGCUGGUCUGAGAGGAUGAUCGGCCACACUGGGGCGGAGACACGGCCCAGAGGCGUACGGGAGGCAGCAGUGGGGGAUGGUGCAUAAUGGGCGGAAGCAGGGUGUAGCAAAGCCGCGGGCGGGAUGACGGCCGUCGGGUGGGAAACCGCGUGCGCCUGUGACGAAGCGUGAGUGACGGGAAUGGGUAAAGAAGCACCGGCUAACUACGUG
RNAcentral lists this ribosomal RNA (438 nucleotides) under uncultured bacterium. RNAcentral describes it as "partial 16S ribosomal RNA". It matches the Rfam family "Bacterial small subunit ribosomal RNA", at positions 29 to 507 of the family's 1533-position model. The record is from RNAcentral.